This is a non-coding RNA of Bemisia tabaci, 1235 nucleotides long. The record is from RefSeq and is a predicted model, not a curated record. NCBI's taxonomy places the organism in Eukaryota, Metazoa, Arthropoda, Insecta, Hemiptera, Aleyrodidae.
CACCUUAAUAAUUCGUCUUAUUUUAUUUCAGGUUUCACAAUGGGGAGAAGAAGCUGAGUGACCUAAUGCGAGAUUCCAUGAGUCGAGACCCGGUAACGCCCGUCCUGUGGGAAGCGCAUCUCGCGGCGUUAGAUCGGCGGGUCGAGAUCAUUCUCAACGCUAUCCGAACCUGUAUCAAUAAAGCUGACCAGACGGGCAACGCUCCCAACUCUAACCAUGUCGAUAGCAAACAAAUUUCCUAGCAUUUACUUAACAUAGAAAUGUGACCUUGGUGUGAUCUUUCUGUCCAAAAUUCAAGAUCGAGCAAACACAGAAGCAAUUCAUACGUUCUUGUUUUACUUCUCGAAACGUGGACUACAGUUCAUAGUAAAUAAGUAGUCAUAACCAAUUCUAAAGAUGUUUGUUUCUCCUCCCAUAUUGGGUUUGUUAAAUAUCUUUUUUUUUCUUUCGAACGUGUAAAGAUUUGUUUUUAUGACCGUGUACAAAUUUGUUUUCUUUUUUCUCUAAAUUUAUUGUACAGAAUGCAUUCGUUUUUAUACAUAAGUGUAAUGUAAGUCCUUUAAUUUGUCCGGCAAAAAUUUUGUAAUUUUUUUUUUAAUAGACUGCAUAACUCCUCCCUCCUCAUUUUUCCGUGCAGGUUUUUUGGCAUUUUUAAACCUCUUUAAAUGAUGAACUAUCGUAUACCGAUUGGGAUAUUUCGUUAUUUCUUAUCUUUAUCUUCCCUUUUUUCCAAUAUUUUGGUGCAAUAAAAGAGUCAUCUUGAAAAAUAAUCAAGAGCAAUAAGUUUUAGGCACCUAUAACUUCCGCCAGGCGAUGAGACGUGUGCAAAAACGUUGCCUCAGCGUUAUUUUGGAAGAUAACAUCAUGAUGACAUUGUGACGACGUUUUCGCAUGCGGUUUGCCAGGCGGGUUAAGAUUCAACUUGGUUUGCUUCCUUCUGAAAUCCCCCAACUUUUAUGUAAAGUAAAUGCAUAAUGAUAUUUUGAAUUGUUUGUAAAAUUUGGCUGUGUUUCAUCUGGUUAAGUUCCCUUCAAAUAUCGUAAGUGUAACAUAUUUCAUUGCACUGAGUACCUAGACGCGGAGGAUCUCCUCAGAACUCAAGUGCGCGCCCAUUUUCACAAACGUGAAAGAAAUAAUAAGAAAAUAAAAAUGGAAAAAAGAUCAAGUACUCAUAUAUUUUGAUGAUUCCUGAACAACUUGUGCUGCUUCAAUAAAGAUCUUUACUUUCUUUUCUA